Molecule: ribosomal RNA, 790 nt
Filed under: uncultured archaeon
Lineage: Archaea
Description: bacterial SSU rRNA
Rfam family: Archaeal small subunit ribosomal RNA
Source: RNAcentral
ACUGCUCAGUAACACGUAGUCAACAUGCCCAGAGGACGUGGAUAACCUCGGGAAACUGAGGAUAAACCGCGAUAGGUCAUAAUAUCUGGAAUGAUUUAUGAUUUAAAUCUAUAUGGCCUCUGGAUUGGACUGCGGCCGAUCAGGCUGUUGGUGAGGUAAUGGCCCACCAAACCUGAAACCGGUACGGGCUCUGAGAGGAGAAGCCCGGAGAUGGGCACUGAGACAAGGGCCCAGGCCCUAUGGGGCGCAGCAGGCGCGAAAACUCUGCAAUAAGCGAAAGCUUGACAGGGUUAUUCUGAGUGAUUUCCGCUAAGGAAAUCUUUUGGCACCUCUAAAAAUGGUGCAGAAUAAGGGGUGGGCAAGCCUGGUGUCAGCCGCCGCGGUAAUACCAGCACCCCGAGUGGUCGGGACGAUUAUUGGGCCUAAAGCAUCCGUAGCCGGUUCUACAAGUCUUCCGUUAAAUCCACCUGCUUAACAGAUGGGCUGCGGAGGAUACUAUAGAGCUAGGAGGCGGGAGAGGCAAGCGGUACUUAGUGGGUAGGGGUAAAAUCCGUUGAUCCAUUGAAGACCACCAGUGGCGAAGGCGGCUUGCCAGAACGCACUCGACGGUGAGGGAUGAAAGCUGGGGGAGCAAACCGGAUUAGAUACCCGGGUAGUCCCAGCUGUAAACGAUGCAGACUCGGUGAUGAAUAGGCUUCGUGCCUAUUCAGUGCCGCAGGGAAGCCGUUAAGUCUGCCGCCUGUGGAGUACGGUCGCAAGACUGAAACUUAAAGGAAUUGGCGGGGGAGCA